AACGAACGCUGGCGGCAUGCCUAACACAUGCAAGUCGAACGAGAUCCGGCGGGUUGUAGCGGCGCACGGGUGCGGACGGCGGGGUAAUCUGUCGGAAGCUGCGGAGUAACAGUUAGAAAUGACUGCUAAUACCGGAUGAUGACGCAAAGUCCCUAGGUUUAUCGCCUGAGGAUGUGCCCGCGUGGCCUUAUCUGGUUAGUGUAGGAAAGGCGCACCAAGGCGACGAGCAUUAGCUGGGCUGGGAGGAUGGUCAGACACUCUUGGACUGGGACACGGUCCAGACUCCUACGGGAGGCAGCAGUGGCUAAUACUGGCCUGUCGGCUCAAGCAUGAUCCAGCAAUGACGCGUGAGCGAUGAAGGCUUUAGGGUUGUAAAGCUAUUUUACCCGGGAUGAUAAUGACAUUACCGGGAGAAUAAGCCCCGGCUAACUCCGUG
This 436-nucleotide ribosomal RNA is filed under the name uncultured bacterium. RNAcentral describes it as "partial 16S ribosomal RNA". It matches the Rfam family "Bacterial small subunit ribosomal RNA", at positions 29 to 507 of the family's 1533-position model. The record is from RNAcentral.